UGCAGAUUAAAGAAAUUGCUGAGUCGG
Molecule: non-coding RNA, 27 nt
Filed under: Mus musculus (house mouse)
Lineage: Eukaryota; Metazoa; Chordata; Mammalia; Rodentia; Muridae
Source: RNAcentral